UAAUACGUAGGUGGCGAGCGUUAUCCGGAUUUACUGGGCGUAAAGAGGGCGCGGGCGGCUUUUCAAGUCGAAUAUAAAAUCUCCCGGCUUAACUGGGAGGGACUAUUCGAUACUGUUGGGCUAGAGAGCAGCAGAGGGAGGUGGAAUUCCCGGUGUAGUGGUGAAAUGCGUAGAUAUCGGGAGGAACACCAGUGGCGAAGGCGGCCUCCUGGGCUGUUGCUGACGCUGAGGCCCGAAAGCGUGGGGAGCAAACAGGAUUAGAUACCCUGGUAGUCCACGCCAUAAACUAUGGACACUAGGUAUAGGGGGUAUCGACCCCCUCUGUGCCGAAGCUAACGCUUUAAGUGUCCCGCCUGGGAACUACGGCCGCAAGGCUA
Molecule: ribosomal RNA, 377 nt
Filed under: uncultured Chloroflexota bacterium
Lineage: Bacteria; Bacillati; Chloroflexota
Description: bacterial SSU rRNA
Rfam family: Bacterial small subunit ribosomal RNA
Source: RNAcentral